AACGCACAUUGCGCCCCUUGGUAUUCCGGGGGGCAUGCCUGUUCGAGCGUCAUUACACCCCUCAAGCCUGGCUUGGUCUUGGGCUCCGCCGUUCGUUCGGCGGGCCUUAAAAUCAGUGGCGGUGCCUCCGCGGCCCUGAGCGUAGUAAAUUUCCUCGCUUUUGGACCCGGUGGUUACUGGCCAGCAACCCCCAACUUCUAAGUUUGACCUCGGAUCAGGUAGGGAUACCCGCUGAACUUAA
This 241-nucleotide unclassified non-coding RNA is filed under the name uncultured fungus. RNAcentral's name for it is "sequence contains ITS2". Lineage: Eukaryota; Fungi. The record is from RNAcentral.